This 1093-nucleotide long non-coding RNA is filed under the name Bos indicus x Bos taurus (hybrid cattle). RNAcentral's name for it is "lncRNA (ENSBIXG00000001109.1)". Lineage: Eukaryota; Metazoa; Chordata; Mammalia; Artiodactyla; Bovidae. The record is from RNAcentral.
CGUGGCCAGCAGAGGGCAGCCCAGGAAAGGCCCGGGUCUAUCCGGGACAGUCACCCGCCAGCGUCCAGGGACCCUCGCCGCACCCUCCAGCUGACCCCACCUUGCAGUAAGGGAUCGGAGCGGGAACAUGGUCACCAGCUCUCUAAAGCUCAGUAACAAAAACCACCCACAAGUAGACACAGCGACCGUUUCCAGAGCUUUCAUCUGUCUUUCCUGUGACCUCCGUGGCCGCGUGGGGUGACUGCGCCUGUCUGCCAAGAGGCGGAGACAGACUCGGACUGGGGACCGAGCGCCUGCGGCCGGAGUUGCAGGGCAGGCUUUGGGAACUCGUGACGCAGAGUCCGAGUGCCUCGGCCCCGUGUCCCCGGGGAGGGACGGGUGAACACCAGCACCCACCCCGGGGCUGAGCACCCAGUCACCAGGCUCCCAAUGCCGGGGCCGCCUGGGGCGCGCGUUCACACCAGCUGCGCGCACAGCGCUUUGGAGUCAUUCCCGGAGUUGCUGUAUAUCGGGGGUCCAUGCCCCAAGUUCCCCACCACAUAGUGGGACUUGUUCUCAGAGCUCAGACUGGGUUCCAGGGAACGAGCACUGUCCAGGGCGGGUCCUGGGAGGGAUGCCCUCGCACUGUGCAUUUCCAUUUGGUGCUGGAACGCAGCCUGAACUCCUGGGCGUCAGGCUCAGCUGUGUGCCCGCGAGUGAACCCCUCCGUGUAAUCGGUGGUCUGCACCCCGCACCCUGCGCGCCAGGCCAGCGUCUGAAGCUCACGUCGCCACAGCAGAAAGAAAGCGGCCAGGAAGAGGGGGUCCAUCAGGAGGCAGAUGGGAGCUGACCCAGGAGACAGAGGAAGAGGAAGUAGCUGUGCUGACCCGGGACUCGCUCAUGUCUGGGACACGUCUAAACUCCGCAGAGUCAGGAUCAAUUAUGGCUCUGUCUCCCAUCAGUCUGAACACGAAACACAUCACCUGCUAAACACAAACACGUCCCUGAGGGCACUGCCGGGGAGGGCCGGGGAGGGCCGCCCGAGGAGGAGUCCAGCCCCAGACCCGGGAACUGCGAGUGUGACCUUGUUUGGGAAAAGGGUCUUUGCAGAGGG